CCUCCAUCCUCCCCGCACAGGAGGAUGGAACGAGGUACCCGACGCUCUCUGCCCUGACUGCGUCGAGACCUCCCACACGGCCGAGGGACCGCACACCCCCGGCCGGAGCAAACUCCGGGCUGCGGUGCCGGGCGGGCUGAGGGUCCCGCCGGGCGC
RNAcentral lists this non-coding RNA (156 nucleotides) under Streptomyces venezuelae ATCC 10712. RNAcentral's name for it is "Streptomyces sRNA scr5239". It matches the Rfam family "Streptomyces sRNA scr5239". Rfam says of the family: It inhibits agarase DagA expression by direct base pairing to the dagA coding region, and it represses translation of methionine synthase metE (SCO0985) at the 5' end of its open reading frame. The record is from Rfam by way of RNAcentral. Lineage: Bacteria; Bacillati; Actinomycetota; Actinomycetes; Kitasatosporales; Streptomycetaceae.